RNAcentral lists this ribosomal RNA (345 nucleotides) under uncultured bacterium. Its description in RNAcentral is "partial 16S ribosomal RNA". It matches the Rfam family "Bacterial small subunit ribosomal RNA", at positions 338 to 680 of the family's 1533-position model. The record is from RNAcentral.
CCUACGGGUGGCAGCAGUGAGGAAGAGUGGUCAAUGGGCGCGAGCCUGAACCAGCCAAGUAGCGUGAAGGAUGACUGCCCUACGGGGUGUAAACUUCGUUUAUAAAGGAAUAAAGUGAGGCACGUGUGCCUUUUUGUAUGUACGUUAUGAAUAAGGAUCGGCUAACUCCGUGCCAGCAGCCGCGGUAAUACGGAGGAUCCGAGCGUUAUCCGGAUUUAGUGGGUUUAAAGGGAGCGUAGAUGGGUUGUUAAGUCAGUUGUGAAAGUUUGCGGCUCAACCGGAAAAUUGCAAUUGAUACUGGCAGUCUUGAGUACAGUUGCGGUAGGCGGACUUCGUGGUGUCGCG